This 429-nucleotide ribosomal RNA is filed under the name Actinomycetes bacterium. RNAcentral describes it as "Actinobacteria bacterium partial 16S ribosomal RNA". It matches the Rfam family "Bacterial small subunit ribosomal RNA", at positions 355 to 776 of the family's 1533-position model. The record is from RNAcentral. Lineage: Bacteria; Bacillati; Actinomycetota; Actinomycetes.
UAGGGAAUCUUCCGCAAUGGGCGAAAGCCUGACGGAGCAACGCCGCGUGAGUGAUGAAGGUCUUCGGAUCGUAAAACUCUGUUAUUAGGGAAGAACAAAUGUGUAAGUAACUAUGCACGUCUUGACGGUACCUAAUCAGAAAGCCACGGCUAACUACGUGCCAGCAGCCGCGGUAAUACGUAGGUGGCAAGCGUUAUCCGGAAUUAUUGGGCGUAAAGCGCGCGUAGGCGGUUUUUUAAGUCUGAUGUGAAAGCCCACGGCUCAACCGUGGAGGGUCAUUGGAAACUGGAAAACUUGAUUGCAGAAGAGGAAAGUGGAAUUCCAUGUGUAGCAGUGAAAUGCGCAGAGAUAUGGAGGAACACCAGUGGCGAAGGCGACUUUCUGGUCUGUAACUGACGCUGAUGUGCGAAAGCGUGGGGAUCAAACAGG